UACGGGGGGGGCAAGCGUUGUUCGGAAUUACUGGGCGUAAAGGGCUCGUAGGUGGCCAACUAAGUCGGACGUGAAAUCCCCCGGCUUAACCUGGGAACUGCGUCUGAUACUGGACGGCUUGAGUAUGGGAGAGGAAUGUAGAAUUCCAGGUGUAGCGGUGAAAUGCGUAGAUAUCAGGAAGAACACCCGUGGCGAAAGCGGCUCUCUGGAACGGUACUGACGCUGAGACGCGAAAGCGUGGGGAGCGAACAGG
This 253-nucleotide ribosomal RNA is filed under the name uncultured bacterium. Its description in RNAcentral is "partial 16S ribosomal RNA". It matches the Rfam family "Bacterial small subunit ribosomal RNA", at positions 524 to 776 of the family's 1533-position model. The record is from RNAcentral.